UCUGAUAGCGUUCUUUCCACACCUGUGGCCCCUCAUUCCUGUAGACAGCCAUGGCACUGCCAAUCACUUCAAGAGCUAAAGGGAGCCCCUCACAUUUGCUAGCUAUUCUCUCGGCAACUUUCACAAUGUCCGGAUCACUAGGUAGUGAAUCAUAAAAGGCAAACUUCCAAAACAUCUUUUUGCUCUCGGCCUCUGAUAGCUCAUGCACAGGAAAUGCCUUUGCACCCAGCAUGCUCAAAAUGCCUUCCUUUCUGGUUGUUACCAGCACCCGGCUGUAAGAGGACGGCCCUGCUAUAAAAUCCAGUCCCUUGGCCCAGCUCAUGUCCCACACAUCAUCCAGUAUCAGCAAGACACAAAUUCCACGAGCAACAUUUUGUGCCAAGUGCUGCACAUGCUCAAGGGUGCCUGCAUUUUGGGCCCUCUCUUUCAUGCCGCCCCAUUCAAGAGUGUUGAGGAGCUGGGCCCUGAGAUCGUCCUCCGAUGCAUCUUUCUUGACAGUGAUCCACACAAUGUUGUCAUGGAAAUGCUGCCGGACCCUCUCGUCAUUGUGCACGAAGCUUGCAAGGGUGGUCUUGCCACACCCUCCCAUUCCCAGGAGUCCAAACCAUUUCCCCGGGGCUUGUGGAUCCAGGAGGGCAUUCACCACCUCAUCCAGCUGCUCCCCAUGGCGGCCAAACAUGUCGCUGGGCUCGGGACCACCACGCCGUACAUAGUUUACGAGACCUCUGUCUUGUGGACAACUCCGUACGGAAAAGCUGGUGCUCGGCUGUAUCACUCUCAACUCUUCUCGCUCGUACCUUUCAAUCUGCGGGAGGAGAUCGUCCUCGCAAGUGCGUACCAGCUCCGAAAUCGCGCCAGAUCGCUUCUCCCUGCGCGACAGAUCCAUCUUUUAGCUCCAUUGCUUCAAACAUGAAUUCGAAUAAGCCUUACUGUGAUCCAAGCAGCGCUUGCGCCUUCUUAGUCCAUUCAGUCAGUUCAGUCAGCCACGCCUCAGCCUCACCAGAGUAGCGGAAGUCUGGAUUCCUGUGCUUGGGAGCAUUAAACUUGUCAAGCGUGGCCUGGAUUCUGGAUGCCCUCUUCUUUAGCUCCUCAACGUGGACAUUCAGCUCAUGCUCGUGACCUUGGAUCUGCGACAGGAGAUCGUCAUAGGCACUUAAGGACUUCGCGAUCUCGUCACUCCGCUUGUACCUAUAGGAAGUGGAGAAGUUCAACCAGCUGCCUGCUAUUUCUAAACACACACACACACACACACACACACACACAAAAGAUAAAAUGCUACUGUACCGACCGCUUUAUGGGGCUCCAGAUCCUGUUGUCGCGUGAUCCCAAGAGUGCUUGUGCCUUGGUGUUCCAUUCCCUGACACGCUCCAAGCAUUCCUCGGCCGCUUCAGAGAACGUGAAGCCAGAAUUCUGCUGCUUGUGAUCGCUGAAAGCGUUGAUCUUGGCCUGGAUGUGGUGCGCCUUGUUCUCCAGCGUGUCAAUGUUGGCAUUGCAGUCCCAUAUCUUCUUAGCAGGGCCCAGAGCCAAGCCACACAAGGCGCCUGCCAAGGAGCCCACAACCUCCAUGCCUGUAAACCUACAAGUAAAGGUUCCCAGAAAGAAGCGCAAUAUUAACUCUUGACCUUGUAGAUCGGACUUUUUUCACAGCUGUGACUCACUCACUCUAAGAGAUUCACAGUGAGCACCGCAACGAUCGCUACAUCGCUUGAGAAACACCUCUAUUUGUACAAACAGACAAACGUGGAGCACGUAAAGUCUUUGGCCUAAAACGGGCAUCUUAAAGAUGCGACACGUCGUCUUUUCUCUUGUACGGCGUUGAUCCAGGCGUACGGAAAUAGAGGGCUCCUCUGCCUAUCUUUGAUGGGAUCCGGGCGAUCUUGUCACCGACGUCUUGAAAGAUCUUAGAUUCUAUCCGCAAUCGCCCAGUCAAUGCGAUCCUGGCGAUGGGUGCUCCAUAUCAUUCUAUUCCCGCCCGGACGUGAUCUCCAGGAUUUGCGAAGAAGAAGGUCGUCGAUCAGAUGCGCGAUGCUGGCGCGCAAUUGAUUGGGGCUUCCCGCUACAUUUUCCCGCGCUAUCGUCUCUACUUCUCCAUUCUAGGGUUCUUUCUUGGAGGCGACGUAGGUUUUCUAUUGCCCGCGUGGUCGAGGAGACGGCGCUGGGGGGCGGCCUUGAUCGGCGUUCUGGAGCUGCACAGGUAAUGGGGCUCGACACUCCGGGUUUUAGAAAUAGGAAGAGGCUCCAGCUUAAGGCUCCGACGAGCAGUGCCAAGGCGAGGAGCCCCAGCCAGCGUUGGUAAAUCGUGGACGACAGGGAGCUCUAGAUCUACGGUGACAACAAAGGCCCCUACGGCAAAAUGUUCCAUCGGCAGUGGAUCGCCAAAAACUCCCGCAAAAGCUGAGGCUUCUAGGACAGCAAAAAUUGCCGAGGUGAUUGUUGAUAGUGGAGCAGAGGAUUUAGAUGAUUCGGGAGUAGAAAGUGGAGCAAUCGAUGGUGGGGAAGAAGAGGUAAACAAGAUUAAGACUGGAGGAGGAAACGAUGCCGAGGUGGAAAGAACAACAGUGGUCGAGAGCUCCAUUGAGACUGUCUGGAAACAUGGCGAGGCUGUUUCUAGCGCCUUAGCUGGACUUUCAAUCAGAGGUAGUGCCUUGACCCACGGUAAUCCCGUUAAGAUGGAAGCUGGUUGUGGUUCCGUGAAAGCUGAAGCGUCGGUUUCGAUCGCAGCUGGAUGUGAUCCUAUGAAAGUAGAUGGGUUGGUGAAGAUGGAAGCUGGUUUUGAGUCUGCAAGAGUCGAAGCUCCGGUUGGCUCGGUGAAGAUGGAACCUGGUUAUGAUACUGUGAAAGUUGAAACUCCAUUCAGGGGUGGUAAAGCUGCCCAUUUGUCUGAAGCGAAGGUGGUUCCAAUAGAAAAUGACACGGCUAAAGCUGCAGAGAAGCAACCAGUUGUUUUAGAUGCAGAGAGGUGGUGGCUUCUCCAAGGGACUGAAGCUGCCGGGGACUCGACGUCCAGGGGAUGCCGGAUUCGUGUUGGCGAGUUCGUGUCCUUCAAUUUUCCCAAGCCUGAAGCCGAAAGUAAGAAGAAGUUCUUUGAGCACAAGAAGGUUCGGCCGAAAGCGAGCUCCGACAUUGUAAGGUUCUUGACAAAAGCUUCAGGAGAGGUACGUUUCACUUGACUUGUUUCUUCGUUUUAAUUCUAACCAUUUGCUCACAGAUAGGACGGCUUCCAGCCGACUGGGCCAAGUGUUUGAUACCUUUGGGAAGUGCAAAAUGGCACCAGAGGCUCUUUCUCUUAUGAGCAGCGUAGUUCUCCAUUUGAGGUUGAGUUUUCUGUGUUUACCAGAGACGUUACGUAUAUGAUGUGCUUGCAGAGUUUAUAUCAACAAGUCAGAAGCCUUACGAGGAGGGGGAUGAGCGCGGAUUGAAGCUUCUGCAAGCUAUCUUGAAGCCGUUAAUGCUUCGAAGAAUAAAAGAUUCAACUGAUAAAGAAGGAAGGUAAGCUAUCAUGCAGGCGUUCCUGUACGAAAUAGGAACUCAUAACUGUACCAACAAGUAAUCGGUUUCGAAUAAAUGUCGAGGAGCAGUGGAAGGAGUCGUCCAAAGUCGAGGCUCUGCUGCACCACCUCCAGACGUUAAGUGAGGCCGGGUCGAAAAGCGUUGAUUUUAGUCAGUGGACAGCGUUUCUCGACUUGUUAGAGAUACCAUUGAAAAGGUAUGAGCGUCUUUCCUUUUGGUGCUUUCUCUUUGUUUGUGUUUCUAACAAUGCACUGCCAGGAAGACCUUCUGUUUCGUCCGCUUGGACGGAACACUAUCGCAGCGUCAGCGAGAACAAGUGCUCAAAAACUUCAGCAAUAUUCCAGCCGUGGCCGUAAGCUUUUUGUGUUGCUUACCUCCAAGAAACCACUCUAUUUUGUGGACAGGUCAUGCUCUCAUGCUUUUCUCAUGGUACGCGCUAUAGUUUUCUUUUUUAGCCAUCUUCCGAGUCGAGAAUGUGGACGAUCGAGCAUCGGUCAGACGAAGAACGUAUCGAUCAAGCGAUUCAUCGUCAAAGUAAGCGCCACUUGAAACUCUCUUUGACGUUUCUCAUGUCUCUAGAGGAGGAGAGAGUGCAACAGGUCCAAGCGAGGAAGCAGCGAUUGAUCGGGGGCUCUCACAGACGAAGAGGUGCGAAGCGCUCGAAUCGCGGAGCUCAAAAUGCUAUUUAGAUGAGAAAAACUGGAGUCCUUCGCAGUUUUUUUAACUUAUUAUAUCAGUAUACAUAGUUAAAGAGGGGAAUAUGCUUCUAGCAUCGGCGCGUAUAUUCUUCGGAUAGUUUACUGAAUGAAUGUGUCAUAGGCUAUCGAUAUAGGAGCUAUGGCUCAUUUCUAGGUUUCUUCGACAGCGAAGGAGCAGGCGAUCGCGUCGCAAGCGGCGACGAGCAAGGUAUGCAUGCUAAGAUCGCCUCGAGAAGCAGCAGCAGCGCCGGCGCCGGCGCCGCGCCGCGAUUUCGCUGGCCUAGAGCCGGAGUAGCCGAGCUAGAUUCAUGCAAGCAUAUGAUCUCUAGGAAAUUGAGCUGAACGCUGAGGCUUUGCAGGCGAUCGCGUCGAUUCCUCUCGUCUCCGCGGCCGGGGCGGCUAGAAAGCCGGGGCGCAUUCUAGAGUUUCGGGGUUUCUGGGGCGAUCAGUCAUGUAGCGGGCAGUGAUUCUCUCACAGGGAGCUCAGCCAUGACGUGGAAUCCGCCACAAGUUCCUCCCAGCUUGUCCGCCUCGACUGCCACUACUCAGGCCGAGGAUGAACUGGGCGUGGAUGUGUCGUCUCCCAGCGGCGAUUUGCUACUCCAUAUUCUCAACAGCGGUGGGGGCGACGAGCAGCUGAGGAGCAGUAGCAGCUACAGGACCCAGCAGUCGCAGCUCACGGUCCCUGCCACAGCUUUGCUCCUUCUGGAGCACCUGGAGGAGGAGGAGAAGGUCCUCCUCCACGACCACUCUACGUCCCAGCAAUAAGAUUUGGUGGGUGGUCACCUCACUUCCAGGAGCACCAAGACCCACUUUUCCCUUCGGAUCCAUUCUUGACUCCGUCGGACCACUGAUUUCUACGCUCGUUUGCUCCUCUUCCAGUCGAGAGACCGUUCCAUCCGCCAGUGCCGUAUCCUUUUCCAAAUGCUCCGACUUUCCAGCCUGCUGAUAAUGUGGUUCAUCCGCCGCAUUCCUCUGGGGAGCUUAAACCUCGUCCUGGCCUUCACUUCGGGUCUCCGGUGUUUGGACCCAGCGCAGCAGAGACCUCGGACUCCAAACGCGCCCCAGAGCAGCCGAGGAGAUCGGUUACACCUGCGAAGGAUGACAAGCAACAAUUCCACGGCAAUGGUUCCGAGCUCCUUCAGUUGUUACAGGGUGGUCCUGGUCGUGUGAAGCCCAGCCUCCACAAAGGUGGAUGCUACACAGGACAGUGGGGAUUCUGGAGAGCCAUCACAGAAAGGAAGUCCAUCUGCUGUUCACGGCCCCAUAGGACCGCCGAGGCGUCAUGUCGUUUCUCCUCCGCAGAGUCCAAAUGACCUCCUUGGACGUUUGUGGGCUGCUCUUCCGUCGUCAAGCCACACUUUGUUUGACGGAGAAAGCGAACGCAAGACGUCAGCCCGGAGCUUUGGCGUUGAAGCGAACGAGAUGUCCCGGGAAGUCGAUGGAGGUGGAGCUGCUGGUUUCGCACUUUUGAAGCGAAGGGGAUCGGAGCCUGCCGCCUCGCACUACCUUUAAACGGCUACGACUAUAACGACUCUAAGAAAAUGAUAAGCCGAGGACAAACUCGGCAUCCGGACGACUACAGGACUAUCGUGGGAGAUACGUAAAUGGAGAGGCCGAAUUUGAGGCCGGAGGCGAUGACUUUAGAGGUGCGGGAAGGCGUCGAGGUACCGGUCGUGCAGACGCCAGACGCGGUGGUCGGGGUGCUGUUGGCCAGUGGAUUGCGGUAAAUGAGAGGCAUAAAGAUGCUGAGCCAAGUGACAUCACCUCCUGCGAUAUCUCUGAUGGAAGGGACGAGUCGCUUAAAUCUUCAAACGGGACUUAGUCGAAUGCUAGGAGAAAACAUCAACAGGAAUGGAGGAUAAAACAGGCCGACUCAAAGGCAGCAUUUCCAGCGGAGAAAAAACCGGACUACAAGGUUGCGAAGGCACGGUCUUUGGCAUCUCAACUUGAACGUCCAGGCUUGCCAUCGGGAAGUACGCAGAACUCUUCCGUUGGUGCGGCUUUUGAGGAGUCCAAACAGAGGCUCCAUAAUCUAGAUGCUUUGGAAGGAGAAGGCGUGACGACCUCUCUAGAUCUCGAGGAGCUACAAAUUGACGGUCACCGUCGUCAGGGUAAAGCUCCACAGUUUUACAAGGUUUGUGCUUGCUUUUUCUCUUUCUUUAUUUUCAUGUGUUUGUAUCUCUGGUUACAGCCGAAGGAGAACCGUUUCAGGGAGUCCAGACGCGUCAUUCCCAUGCACAGACGUGAUCUUCUUUACCGACUGGAUCUGCAGAAUUUCACUUGUGAGCUUUUCUGCCUCUACGACGAGCUUAUACCAACCGGAGGUCCGGAGAAGGAAGUACUUCUCGAAGCUUGAGUCCCUUUUCGAGAGGGAGAUCCCGGGAACACGGCUCUUUCUUUUCGGAUCUUGUGUUAAUGCGUUUGGAGUUUGUAACAGUGACAUCGAUGUUUGCCUCUCCGUUGAUGAGGAAGAACCAAACAAGAUCGAGCUUGUUGUUCAAAUGGCAACUAUCCUCGAGUCAGAUGCCAUGUUAAACGUACAGGAGGCAUAGGACAACGUGACUCAUGGUACCCGCUAUAGUUUCUUAUCCGAAUAUUUAACCAUCCUCCGAUCCAGAGAACUUUCCUUUCAUUGUUCUUGGCAACAAGGUCGAUGUUGACGGAGGGAACAGUAGAGUGGUGAGCUCUUUUGUUUGAUCUCUCUCGCCUUACUUUAAAGCUUGUGUGUCCAGGUUUCCCACAAGAAAGCCAAGCCUGGUGUGCUUCCAAGGGAAACAUUCCAUACUUUGAGGCGUCUGCCAAGGAAGACUACAAUGUGGAGGCUGCGAUUCAAUGCAUUGCCAAGAAUGCCUUAACCGAGGAAGACUUGUAAGUUUUGCUUGUUUCUUCUUGUGAUGUUUCAAGCUCACAUUUAACUUCUGGCAGCAGCUAUCUUCCAGACACGAUGGACAAUAAAAUACUCAAAACCACGAGAGUAAAGUAAUAUCCUGAGAAUACGAUUUGUAAGAAAAAAAGAAAAUGUUUCUUCUCCUAACGCUGCUGACGCUGUGAAAUCUCUGUUUUCGUUUUUUGAUGUUCUGCUUGUGAUGCAAAAUGGUGUAGCAUUUGCGCAGAUCUUCGAAAACCAAUCGAUGUCCACUGAAGGAGCAAGGUUUAUUAGGCCUCGAAGGUUAUAUGGACAUCCGGCCGCUCCUCAAGCCAUGGUGGAACUUUCGUACCGUUUGGGCAGCGUAGGACUUUGAGCCUGGGAAAUAAGCCAAGGCCGUGAUUGUCUGAACUCAAUUGGGGCCACACUACAUCAUCAUGCCCAGAGAGCUCAAGUUCCUCCAAUCCUGGAAGGGAUGCAAUGGAUGAUGGAAUAUUUUCGAUCCUACCCAAGGUUACACCUCUUAGAGCAGUCAUCUGGUCUGUUGGCUCAAAGAAAUCAUUGGGGAGCUGCUUAAUAAUAGUCUCCCUCGCGAAUAAUUCGACCUGUUUCACCUUCAGCUGUGAUCUCUCAGUUGGCAUCAAGAGUCUCCUCAUGUAACCUUCUACAUCCAGUUCAUCAAGGUCUUUGGGGUGUUGUGUCACAAAGAGAGGCAAAUGCUCCCAUGUAUUAUCAGGAGCCAGCUUGAAUGUUAAAAGCUGCAGGUUUGGAAGACUUGCUGCCAAAUCGUCCUUGAACUCCGACUGUGCAAUGUGUAGAUUUUCAAGGCCCAGAACUUCAAGGCAUGGGAACGAUCCAUCUAAACUGAAGAACUGGAUACCACUGCAGUCUAGGUGAAGUUGUCGUAGCCGUUGAAAGCCCUUUAGCCAAGACAGGUCUUUCAUUGUCUCAUUGUUUGUGAUGGUUAAAAAUUGUAGCUGUGGCCAUUCAAGGCUUUCGGCAUUGUUUUCACCGUCUUGUACCCUGUCAAUCGAAAAGUGCCGAAGCUGUUUGGAAUUCUUAAACAUUCGCUUCCAGUCAAGUUUGAUAGUCGAUUCCACCCUAAUAUCACAUCGUUUCAGAUUGACAAGUUGCCAUAGGCUGGUGAAAUCGCCAAAGUCCAUGCUCUUUGCCCACAACUCCAGUGUCUCAAUGUCCUCUAGUGCACCAAGGCCGUGAGGUAUUUUUAUUGUUGCCUUGUGGAGGCCUAGCUCUAAAUGUCUUAGCUUGUGUAGGCUUGAAAUUCCACUCAAAUCCACAGCUAACUCCUCAAAGGAAUAAAGCUCCAGCUCUUCCAAGUUGAAUAAUUGGGGCACUAAUCCAAAGUUGAGAUUUCUGGUAGCCUUGCAUUUCAAAACCUUCAGUGAUGUCAAGCUGAAGAGCGCAUCUGGUACAAGGCACAUCUCUCGAAGGUCAAGCACUUGAAGGUUUCUCAGCUUGGAUAUGCUCUCUGGAAUAAAACGGACCUGAUCAGAGCAGUGAAGCAAGCUCAAUACCUUGACAUUUUGGAUGUGAUCUAUAAUAAGACUGACAUCCACACCAGAAAUUUUAUGACAUCCAUCGAGAAGCAAGACAUCUCGCACAUGAAUGUCAGACAAAAGGCUGCUUGUAACCUUCUUUCCAAUGAAUGAAACUUUAGAAAAUGUUGGAGAAAUCCCAGGUGGACAAUCAUAGCCAAACAGGCAUCCCUUCUCGUGCUCUUCCUGGGGCGGGUACUUCCCUUUCAAGAUUCUUAUGCACAGCUUGCGUACCAUAUCGUGCACAGUUACAUACUUAACCCAUCGAAAAUCAGUUGUCUUCACUAGGCAUCUUCGUUCCAGUUCACUAACAAUCUGCAGAGGCGAGAGUUCUGACCCAACCGCUAUCCAACAUUUUCUCAGAUCAUCAAAGUUGAUGUUCCAAUCUUCUUGAAACGCAGCCACAUAGAGAAAGCACUCUUGCAGCUUUUCAUCCUUAUUAAACCGUCCCAGCUCGUCAUAGCUAAACUUCAAGCGCUGGAACAUCCGCUUCUCAAUGUCCCCGUCAUUCAACAAAUGCAUCUUCUGAUAGCGUUCUUCCCACACCUGUGGCCCCGCAUUCCUGUAGACAGCCAUGGCACUGCCAAUCACUUCAAGAGCUAAAGGGAGCCCCUCACAUUUGCUAGCUAUUCUCUUGGCAACUUUCACAAUGUCCGGAUCACUAGGUAGUGAAUCACGAAAGGCAAACUUCCAAAACAUCUUUUCGCUCUCGGCCUUUGAUAGCUUACACACACGAAAUGUUUUUGCACCCAGCAUGCUCAAAAUGUCUUCCUUUCUGGUUGUUACCAG
Molecule: long non-coding RNA, 9422 nt
Filed under: Selaginella moellendorffii
Lineage: Eukaryota; Viridiplantae; Streptophyta; Lycopodiopsida; Selaginellales; Selaginellaceae
Description: long non-coding RNA (SMOE_LNC000164)
Source: RNAcentral